This 536-nucleotide unclassified non-coding RNA is filed under the name Hevea brasiliensis (rubber tree). Lineage: Eukaryota; Viridiplantae; Streptophyta; Magnoliopsida; Malpighiales; Euphorbiaceae. The record is from RNAcentral.
UUGUCUCAACCCCAAGAUCAGGUCUGAUGGAGGGAUUUAAUGGUGGCAACUGGAGAGGCUGUGUUUAGGUUAAGAAACUUAUUUCUCUUCUAAAUUCUGGUUUAGGUCAUGCAAGAGUUAGGAAGCUCAAGAAAUUUCUGACCCCUUUAAUCCCAAAGCAUCCGUUGUUUUGGUAGUUACCCUGGCAGCCUCUCAGUUCAGGAAUUGGGUUCGAAUGCUAAGAGUUCCCUUUGUUUUGGGCCCCUAUCUUUGGAGCUGAGUUCAAAUCAGAAGAACCUUCUUCACUUUGCCCAACAAACACCAUCAACACAUUAUCACUUCCAUCAACAACAGCAACUUUUACAGCUCUAACAGCAGAAGCAAAUGAAGCAGCAAGCUUAGAUGAUGUUUAGGAGCAAUGGUGGGAUUAGUUGGAACUUCGAUGACUCUAGCUGUACGCCAACAAUUUUAUCUACCAAAUAUUUAUAUCUUCCUUGAGUAUAGGUGGUAGUCUUGUUUAGAAUAAAUCAUUUACAACAAAAAAAAAUUAAUUUAAU